UUUUGCCGCGGUUAUUCCGAUAACUUUGUGCACUAAAUAAAACCAGCUUCGUCUCUGUUGAAUAUUUUGGCAAACAACUUAUUUUAUGGACCGUUUGGCGAAGGUUUUCACACAACAGGACGAGCUAAUCGCUCCGGUUGGGCAUAUCAGAAUGAAUAUGAAGCCAUCAAAGCACUCCACUCUCUGCCGGGGGAAAAGAGACAGCAUUUCCAGGAGUUGACGCUCAAGCUGCUUGACGACUUGGAAUUGAACGAAAGCUUUCGCCAGCAGCUGGAGGAUCUGAAAAGGAGCUUGGAGUUGCUACAAUGCCAGUCGUCGAAUGAUAAAUCAGUCAAUGAUCAAGAGAAGACCGGUCCCAUUCAUGAAAUCGUCACAGAGUCUGGCAGCCGUGGGCGCUACAUGAUUGCCAAAGAAGACAUACUGCAAGGCAAAAUCAUAUUCAGGGAGCAGGCCACCUGCUUUGUGCCUCUUGAGCAAAGACUGAUUUGCCAGCAAUGCGCAGCCAGCCUGUUGUGCGCUCCCAUUCCCUGUCCGCAGUGUCGGCAGCGAGUUGUCUACUGCUCCAGAGAAUGUCGCGAGCGCCACAAACCCAUCCACAGAUUUGAAUGUGCCGCUUACCGUAAAGAUCUGCUCAACAUGGUAGGCGUUUCGCACUUGGCGCUGCGCAUGGUCCUGAGCUAUAUGCCGUCGAUGCUGCCAAAGCUGCAAGAAUGCCCCGACUCGUCCGAGAUGUGGGCUACUAUCACGACGCUGGCAAAAGGAGCCGACAAGGAAAAUGAGCCGACACCGUAGUAUCUGCAGAGUCUCCGCAUAAUAAGCCACCUGGACAAGGCGCCUCAGGCGGAGCUGGCUUACCACAUGCUCUGCGCCAACCUGCUGCAGCUCUAUUUAAAGGAUUACACCAACUUCUGAAGUGGUUUGAAAGAGUAACGUAUAAAAAAAGGUAUAAAUACUGGGAUCCACAAAAGGGAACAUUUGGAAAAGUACCAAGAAGGGAUAUUGGUCUCCCUAUGUUACUCAACUUUGCCGCCUCAAUUCAAGUUAAAAGGUAAACGAAGGAGAGCGGUUUUUUUUUCUGUUUUUUGAGUUGAAACUUGUAAAAUAAUUACGGCGUCAAUUCGAAAAUGGAGGAUUCUCAAGUUUAACGCUGUACUGGGGGGUCUCAGACUGUGCAGAUCUAGCCUCGAUCUCUUGGAAGAAAAACUGUUGGCGAAGACAGACGUGCUAUUUUUGUCCAGUCCAAGUAUAAAGAAAAAAAAGAGGAAUAAAAACCGGGAAAAGAUCUUAACAGCUGAAUACAGCAAAAAGAAAGAAAUAUUGUGCGUUUAUAAAGUAAAAGUGUGUUAAGUGCCAAUCUCAAUUGAUUGGCGGUUAGUACCGGCUUAAACUUCGGGCAAUGGUUUGGGUACCUGUCUGAACCCCAAUACGAAAGCUCGCAACAACAAUUUCCCCGAUAUUAGGGCCUCCGCCCGCGGCAAGGGACUUAUGCUCCUCGCCCAACUACAGCUCCGUACCAAAAAUUCCCAGCGCUAGGCCGAGCAGCACAAAGCGGGAGGCGUAAAAGAUCGGCUCAUCAGUCCCUUUUUGCGGGCGCGAGCCACUUAUGUGUCACGGACCCGCGAUAUAUUGGAGGCCGUCCAAUUCUGCGGAAAUUAUUAAAGCUAUGUAAACGCUUUCGUUUUAGGAACGUUGCCGCAGUCCAUGGAAGCGCUUUCAUCGCUGUUUCAACGCAUUUAUUAAAACAAAUCAAAGGAAGGCCUCAGGGGCUUCGUCGCUUAAGAGAGGCGCACAGCCUGUGCGCUCUCCCUUAUGCCCUGCUGGCAACCAUAAGCGCUUAUGCCGCGCAUAAGAACCAGCCCUCUUAAGAACAAGGCACAAAAAGGAAGAUGCGAGGCUGGUCGCUCUGACGUUCUUUUAUGCUUUCUACUUGCGGUUGCUUUCGCUAAUGCACUUGAAUAACUGACCUGCCAUAACGAUCGCGGCGCACAGUUUUUACAUUCCCUUUUGCAUAUUUAUUUAUUAUUAUUAUCUAUUUGCCUAACAUAAAAGCUAGAGAUAUGUACACUUCCCUUCUUUCAAUUUGUAAGUUAAAUUUCAAUCUAAAGUGUAUUAUUAAGAGUUAAUCAUUUAUUAGUUUACUAGUGCGAUGCAUGUGCUAUUGCUCAAUAUGAAAUAUAGGAUUUAACAUGAA
Molecule: RNA transcript, 2191 nt
Organism: Drosophila miranda
Lineage: Eukaryota; Metazoa; Arthropoda; Insecta; Diptera; Drosophilidae
Exons: 5
Source: RefSeq, a predicted model, not a curated record